This 337-nucleotide unclassified non-coding RNA is filed under the name soil metagenome. Its description in RNAcentral is "partial contains 5.8S ribosomal RNA, internal transcribed spacer 2, and large subunit ribosomal RNA". The stretch from base 1 to 120 matches the Rfam family "5.8S ribosomal RNA", at positions 35 to 154 of the family's 154-position model. The record is from RNAcentral.
GAUGAAGAACGUAUCGAAAUGCGAUAAGUAGUGUGAAUUGCAGAAUUCAGUGAAUCAUCGAAUCUUUGAACGCACAUUGCGCCCCUUGGUAUUCCAUGGGGCAUGCCUGUUCGAGCGUCAUUUGUACCCUCAAGCUAAGCUUGGUGUUGGGUGUUUGUCCACUCCCUCGUGUUUGGACUCGCCUUAAAACAAUUGGCAGCCAGUGUUUUGGUAUUGAAGCGCAGCACAAUUUGCGAUUCUAGCCUAGAAUACUAGCAUCCAUCAAGUCAUUUUUAACGCUUGACCUCGGAUCAGGUAGGGAUACCCGCUGAACUUAAGCAUAUCAAUAAGCGGAGGA